RNAcentral lists this ribosomal RNA (465 nucleotides) under uncultured bacterium. RNAcentral describes it as "partial 16S ribosomal RNA". It matches the Rfam family "Bacterial small subunit ribosomal RNA", at positions 28 to 507 of the family's 1533-position model. The record is from RNAcentral.
GAUGAACGCUGGCGGCGUGCUUAACACAUGCAAGUCGAACGGAGAGGCCCAAUCUUUCUUGGGUACUCGAGUGGCGAACGGGUGAGUAACACGUGUGUGAUCUGCCCUUCACUUCGGGAUAAGCCUGGGAAACUGGGUCGAAUACCGGAUAUGACCACAUUUUGGAUGGUGUGGUGGAAAGUUUUUCGGUGUUGGAUGAGCUCGAGGCCUAUCAGCUUGUUGUUGGGGUGAUGGCCUACCAAGGCGUCGACGGGUAGCCGGCCUGAGAGGGUGUACGGCCACAUUGGGACUCAGAUACGGCCAAGACGCAUACGGGAGGCAGAAGUGGGGAAUAUUGCACAAUGGGCGCAAGCCUGAUGCAGCGACGCCGCGUGGGGGAUCACUGCCUUCGGGUUGUAACCUCCUUUCGCUAGGAAAGAAGAGCAAGUGACGGUAACUGGCGAAGAAGCACCGGCUAACUACGUG